Molecule: long non-coding RNA, 1666 nt
Organism: Chelonia mydas (Green sea turtle)
Lineage: Eukaryota; Metazoa; Chordata; Testudines; Cheloniidae
Exons: 3
Source: RefSeq, a predicted model, not a curated record
AGCCCUCAGUCACACAAGGGGGAAAGUAGGCACCUGAGAAAGGCAGGGUAGAAAGCAGGCCAGGGAAGGAAUGGUAAGGUCUGAGAGGGAUAGACCUGAACUGCUGGCUUGAGGGACCCUGGACGGGAACCUGGAGUAAAAGGUGGGCCCAGGUGCCCCUACCCACCCCGUGGGCUUGGCACAGCGGAGCUGGAGACUGCCUGAGACUUUGAGGAAGGAAUCUCUGAUAAUACGCCAGAAGGGGAGGAUGAUGGUGACUCAGCCAGAGGGUUAAACGACAAAGGAAAGAUACUGCAGCACCUGAUGAGCAAGGAAGGGGCCACAGUGUGACGACUGAGGCAACAGGCUGAGCCACGUGGAGGUGCUGCCGAGCGAGCCAAAUACAUUCAGUGGGAGAUUUUCAGGGGCUCAGCUGGAGUUAGAACUUGGACUCAUGGUAUUAAGGACCUGAACUUGCUCCCACCAAGGUAUCUAUACAGCUAAAUCCCUAAGCUAAAUAUCUAUCGGGCAUGCAUGCUCAAAGACUUUUGUAUGCUUGAGACGUGCAUUAGAAAACUGGAUCAGUUACACAUGCACUUUCUUCAGUCUGUUUGCAAGGUCAGAUUAUGGGAAGUUCCUGAUAUCAAAAAUUCUUAAUCAUUGGAUGUCCAGCAUUCAAAGCAUGCUCAUAAAAGUUCACCUGCAUUGGUCUGGGCAUCUCAUUCAUAUGGCUUAUUUGAGAAUACUCAAGGCCAUAUUUUAUGGUAAGCUAAAGCAAGGCACCCAUUCUCAUUAUAGUACAAACAAUAUAAAGACACACUGUCAAACUUGAAAGCAUGUCAAGUUGAUCUGGGAAGCAACAGCCCAUGACAGAAAAAGGUGGCAGCAAAUUUGUCUUGUCACCAUUAAGAGCUUUGAAGGAUUAACUGCUGUCUGUGCUGUGCUGUGCUUGUUCCUGGAGUCUUUAACUUAACUAAGCAUCCUGGAUUGUAGCAGUGUUAUGAACCCAGGGUACAGUGACCUUUGGGGCAGGGACUUGUUAGUAGUUUGCUGCUUACAUGGGGCGCAGAGGGCCAACAAAAGCCCUUUGGAACAUUUAGAUCCCAUUAGAAUCUUCGGAUUGGAACAUCCACCUCUAAGAUAGAAAAACUGAGAUCAGAGUUUGAGACUUGCCCAAGGUCACAGCAAGCUACAGUGAAGGUCAGAAUAAGAACUCAGGAGUCCCUGGCUAUGCACUAGACCACUCUGUCUCCCACACUUGGAAAUGGAGACAUGAUUAGCUUCUUGUCUGGGCAAGAGAUAUUUAUUUGUUUUUUUUUUCCCCUCUAUCUCAUUCCUUAUUCAAGAUCCAAUCCCUUCUAGCGUAGCUCACAAAGAACUCAUGCUGUGGGCAAAUUUCUCAAUGAGAAUAUAUGCCUGCAGUGUUCACACCCGCGUCACACAGGCCAAUCUUAAAAUGUGACUGCCUAACCAGAAGGUACAGAUUUCUCACUAGGCACUCAAGUCAGUUCAGACAGGGAUUACACACCUAAGAGCCAAUUUAAGCAUCCAGUUGUAGGAUUUUGCUGUUCUCGUUAGGCGCCUCCAUUUAAAAAUUGAGCUUCCAAAAUAAAAGCCCACAAUCUGUGAGGAGCUGCCCUCCUUACCUGGGGGAAGGAUAGGCCUCUGACUAUUUUAAUCACACACA